RNAcentral lists this ribosomal RNA (279 nucleotides) under uncultured bacterium. RNAcentral's name for it is "partial 16S ribosomal RNA". It matches the Rfam family "Bacterial small subunit ribosomal RNA", at positions 506 to 784 of the family's 1533-position model. The record is from RNAcentral.
UGCCAGCAGCCGCGGUAAUACAGAGGGUGCAAACGUUGUUCGGAAUUACUGGGCGUAAAGCGCGUGUAGGCUGUCACGCAAGUCGGAUGUGAAAGCCCGGGGCUCAACCCCGGAAGUGCAUUCGAAACUGCGCGACUAGAGUCUCGGAGGGGAUAGCGGAAUUCUGGGUGUAGAGGCGAAAUUCGUAGAUAUUCGGUGGAACACCAGUGGCGAAGGCGGCUCGCUGGCUCGAUUCUGACGCUGAGGUGCGAAAGUGUGGGGAGCAAACAGGAUUAGAUA